AACCUGGCCCAUACAGGGGGAUAACACUUAGAAAUAGGUGCUAAUACCGCAUAACAACAGAAAGCGCAUGCUUUUUGUUUGAAAACCAAGGUGGUAUGGGAUGGACCCGCGUCUGAUUAGCUGGUUGGCGGGGUAAAGGCCCACCAAGGCGACGAUCAGUAGCCGGCCUGAGAGGGUGGACGGCCACAUUGGGACUGAGACACGAUCCAAAUUUAAACGGGAGGUAGCAGUGGAUAAUAUUGCACAAUGGGGGAAACCCUGAUGCAGCGACGCCGCGUGAGUGAAGAAGUAAUUCGUUAUGUAAAGCUCUAUCAGCAGGGAAGAAAAUGACGGUCCCUGAGUAAGAAGCCCCGGCUAACUACGUGCCAGCAGCCGCGGCAAUACGUAGGGGGCAAGCGUUAUCCGGAUUUACUGGGUGUAAAGGGAGCGUAAACCGCAGUGCAAGUCUGGAGUGAAAGGUGGGGGCUCAACCCCCGGACUGCUCUGGAAACUGUACGGCUGGAGUGCACGAGAGGUAAGUGGAAUUCCUAGUGUAGCGGUGAAAUGCGUAGAUAUUACGAGGAACACC
RNAcentral lists this ribosomal RNA (568 nucleotides) under uncultured bacterium. RNAcentral's name for it is "bacterial SSU rRNA". It matches the Rfam family "Bacterial small subunit ribosomal RNA", at positions 123 to 710 of the family's 1533-position model. The record is from RNAcentral.